UACAGAGGGUGCAAGCGUUAAUCGGAAUUACUGGGCGUAAAGCGUGCGUAGACGGUUACAUAAGUCGGGUGUGAAAGCCCCGGGGCUCAACCUGGGAAUUGCAUUCGAGACUGCGUAGCUAGGGUGCGGAAGAGGGAAGCGGAAUUUCCGGUGUAGCGGUGAAAUGCGUAGAUAUCGGGAAGGAACACCAGUGGCGAAGGCGGCUCUCGUGGGACGGUACUGACGCUGAGACGCGAAAGCGUGGGGAGCGAACAGGG
RNAcentral lists this ribosomal RNA (257 nucleotides) under uncultured bacterium. RNAcentral's name for it is "partial 16S ribosomal RNA". It matches the Rfam family "Bacterial small subunit ribosomal RNA", at positions 524 to 777 of the family's 1533-position model. The record is from RNAcentral.